Long non-coding RNA from Sapajus apella (tufted capuchin), 238 nucleotides. RefSeq lists it as uncharacterized. The record is from RefSeq and is a predicted model, not a curated record. The transcript is spliced from 2 exons. NCBI's taxonomy places the organism in Eukaryota, Metazoa, Chordata, Mammalia, Primates, Cebidae.
CCUUCAAAAGAAAUUUUUACUUUUAAGUUCAAUCUGUUUUCAUCAUUAGCUCAUUAGAGUAUCAUGUAUUCACUUUCCACAGAAAAACACAUGGCAUAGCACACUCUCAACUAGAGUUCAAGGAUUAUGACCAAAAGUCAGGCUUCAUUAAAAAAAAAAAGAUUGUAUCAAAUAAAACUGUACUUUAACCGCCAUUGUUCUAUCCAGCAAACUGACUUUUAAUACCAAAACCCGUCCU